AAAGAAAGUUGGAUUGGAGAUAGGAUCAGUCCUAGAGUUGUGGAUUGAGAAACCUUUCAAUGUUACUGGUGCACAUGUACCACAAGUUGGGGAAGAGCAUAUAAUCAAAAUUGUAACACAGCGAUAUAUAUAAUUUCACAGUAUAAAUCAUGCGGCAUCUUCAUGCAUCACACUUAGAUUUCAGAAUUCAGAUAAACAAAUUAAUAAUACAUCUUUAUUAAAAAGAAGGUUAUUUGAUGUCUAAGCUCGAAAUCUGAACUUUCACAACCAUGAGGGGCAAUAAAGAAAUAUUAGUAUGUAAUCAAUAGAAGGUAAGGUUAGAGGCAGAGGAAGGUUGAUAUCUUGUGAUCAAUCAUGUGGUCUAGCCGGACAAACGACAUCUCCAAACAAGGAGGUAAGGCUAAUCAAAUCAAUACCUUUAUAGGUAAGGCUAAUCAAAACAAGAUUGUUAUCUUCUACCUUUUCCAUCUAAUUCUUAAAACCUUCAUAACCACUGUGUAUGCUUGUAUCCCCAUGUCUGGUAGGGUCAAAUAAGGAUGUUAGACAACAAAUUGAAUUGGUUGGUUCAAAAGAUAAUUUUUACCACCACAGCUCCACUCCAUGUUCUUGUUUGAUUUACCAAUUGGCCAAAAGUAGAAAUCUAUUAUAAUUGUACUUAUCUAUGAGAAAGUACCCAAUUUAGUCGCUGGAAUUAGACAUUUCAUAACCUUAGUUCCUCAUUUUAUAUAAAUAUUGUCAAGUUAGUCCCUCCGUUAAUUUUAGUCUGCUAUGUAGUGGUUUUU
RNAcentral lists this long non-coding RNA (782 nucleotides) under Medicago truncatula (barrel medic). Its description in RNAcentral is "long non-coding RNA (MTRU_LNC001625)". Lineage: Eukaryota; Viridiplantae; Streptophyta; Magnoliopsida; Fabales; Fabaceae. The record is from RNAcentral.